This 397-nucleotide ribosomal RNA is filed under the name uncultured bacterium. Its description in RNAcentral is "bacterial SSU rRNA". It matches the Rfam family "Bacterial small subunit ribosomal RNA", at positions 362 to 776 of the family's 1533-position model. The record is from RNAcentral.
UAUUGCACAAUGGGGGAAACCCUGAUGCAGCGACGCCGCGUGAGGGAAGACGGUUUUCGGAUUGUAAACCUCUGUCUUUGGGGACGAAUUGAGACGGUACCCAAGGAGGAAGCACCGGCUAACUACGUGCCAGCAGCCGCGGUAAUACGUAGGGAGCAAGCGUUGUCCGGAAUUACUGGGUGUAAAGGGAGCGUAGGCGGGAUAGUAAGUUGAUUGUUAAAACUAUCGGCUCAACUGAUAGAUGCGAUCAAAACUGCAAUUCUUGAGUGAAGUAGAGGCAGGCGGAAUUCCUAGUGUAGCGGUGAAAUGCGUAGAUAUUGGGAGGAACACCAGUGGCGAAGGCGGCCUGCUGGACAUUAACUGACGCUGAGGCGCGAAAGCGUGGGGAGCAAACAGG